GAAGAUGAUGAUGAUGAUUAUGAUGAAGAAGGUGAAGAAGCGGAUGAGGAAGGGGGAGAAGAAGGAGAUGAGGAAAAUGAUCCAGACUAUGACCCAAAGAAGGAUCAAAACCCAGCAGAGUGCAAGCGGCAGUGAAGCAGGUUGUAUGUGGCCUUGAGGAUAACCUGCACUGGUCUACCUUCUGCUUCUCUGGAAAGGAUGAAUUUACAUCAUUUGAUGAGCCUAUUUCAAGUUUUUUGUUACUGUUUGUUUUGCUUGUUUUUGUUUUUGCAGCCUAAAAUAAAAAUGUCAAAUACAA
Long non-coding RNA from Oryctolagus cuniculus (rabbit), 298 nucleotides. RefSeq lists it as uncharacterized. The record is from RefSeq and is a predicted model, not a curated record. NCBI's taxonomy places the organism in Eukaryota, Metazoa, Chordata, Mammalia, Lagomorpha, Leporidae.